This 5171-nucleotide long non-coding RNA is filed under the name Brassica napus (rape). RNAcentral describes it as "long non-coding RNA (BNAP_LNC025266)". Lineage: Eukaryota; Viridiplantae; Streptophyta; Magnoliopsida; Brassicales; Brassicaceae. The record is from RNAcentral.
AUACAUCUGUCAAAUAAGAAAAAGUAAAAGUGACAUAGAGAGAUUCUUUUCCACCUCGAUCUUCGUUCUUGGUUCUGGACCAAAGUGAAUCCAACAUAUAAAAAAAGUGAUUUAUAAAUAAAGUCAAACAUUGAUACUUUGAUUGGAAGUGAUAGUUACAAAAGCACUCUCCAAAAGGCUGGUGGGAAUCUACUGAGUGAACAACCCAUACACCUAAUUUACCCUCACUUACCUCAAAAUUUAGACCAUACCAAACACUACUAUUAAUACAGUACAUUUGCAUGUGAGAAAAUAAAAGAAAGAUACAUCGGUUACUUGUAGACUUCAAACACAAACUACUUAAAAGGUGGAUUUAAUUAACUAACACGUUAAUCAAGUUUCACUAAAACAAAGUUAGCAAAAAAAGUUUCUAUCAACCCUUCCCUUCUUCCCCGCGUUGUGUGUCACGUUCCCCACCUCUCCAUUAUCUCUUCCUCUUUUUCAUUUUUUUUGUGUGUUUCUUCUCUCAGAAAAAGACAAGACAAUGCCUGUUUCUUCAGAGCCUUCGUCUUCUUCAACAACAAUCGGUCAACACAUCAGACUCCGACCAAGAAAUCUCCCACUACUUCCCACCGCCGAUGAGCCUCUAGUUCCAAAACCUAGCCGUGUCUCUAAAUCGGCCAUGUCUUCCUUCUUCCUCUUACCAUCUAACGAAACCACAAGGAAGACAACGUCGUCGUUUCGCAGGCUUGGCUGCACUUCCUCCGCGUCUCAGCAGGUCUCCGUCCCGGCGGUGAUUCGCUCCUCCGCGGAUUGGGGUGCGACUAAGACCAAGAGCAAGAACAAGAACAAGGGUACUGGUCGCGAGAGUGGCGGUUCGGUUAAGAUCUUGACCGAGGCAGGAGAUGGAGGAAACGCUUGUGGAGCGGUUCCUGACGUUUGGUGCGGAUUAAGCUGCUGUUUCCGUGGUUGUUGCCAGACUCUUGUCGGAGCUCCUUGACGACAGCAGCUAAAGCCUCAGGGUUAAGACCAAGAUCGCAAAGAGCAAUCAAAACGGACAAGGUAUGUCGAUCGAGACCAGUCUCCAAGAUGUUGGACAUUCGAAACGCAAGCUCCAGCGAGUCCCUCGCAGUUUCAGCUGCCUCCUUAUCCAUUUACUCUCUGACCCCAGAGAAUAAAAAAAUCAAAUCUUUUAUUUCAAAAACUGAGGAAAAGAUUCAAUUUUUAAUAAUAGUUGCAAUGUAGAGUGGUAACCCCCAAAAAGACUUAAGGAAACAAGCGAAACAGAGAGAUGAACAAACCAGAUUAUGCGACGGAGAUAGAUAACCAACGGCGUCGAAUCUGAGAUCUCAGAGCUUUUGAAAGUUGUUGUGAGAAAAGGAGUAAAGGCGAAGUUGGGACACGAAAUAGAUUUCUAGCCAAACCAAAAUUGGUUACCAUCUGACCGGUUCAAAUUAGAAUCUUAACCGGCAUCCCUAUUAAUUAAUGUUGAAUGUUUUUUCUGGAACAUUAUUUUUUUUUGGAAAACUAAUGUUGAAUAUAAUUUAUUCUAUCACAAAUUACAAAAAAAAAAAAAAUUGGUCUAAAUGUUAAAACAAAUUACAAAAUAUUACUUCUACAAUCUACAAAUUUAUUUGUUUCUAUUUUCACCAUACUGAGUUGUUUUAUGAAGAUUCAUACCCUUUUUUUUUUAUGAAGAUUCAUACUUAAAGGUUCUAUUUUGCAUCAUACUAAAAAAUUCUUUUUUUGUUUUGUUUUCAUACUAAAAAUUUCAUAGAAGUUUUUCACUCUGCAUAAUUGAUAUUUUUGGAUUCCAAAUCCAAAAAAUUAGCGUAGAAACAUUAAUGAAAGUUUAGGAAAAUCACUAAACCAAAGAGAUUUCCCCAAAACGUUGAAUUAACAUAGUCAAUGGAGUAUCCAUAAUUUACCUAACGACUAUUAAUUACAUCUGAGAUUUAUGGCAUAGAAUUAAGGAAAGUCGCACUCGUGGGAUUACAUUGAGCAGGCCUAGGCAUAAAAUCCGGAACUCGAAAUUCGAACCGAACCCGAACCGAAAAACUCGACCCAUUAUCCGAUCUGAAAUAUAAAAAUACCCGAACGGAUCUUGUAGGGUGGUACAAAAAAUAUCCGAACCCGAAGUGUUAUUAACCGAACCCGAACGGGUAACCCGGAAAUCCGAAAUUAAUAGUUAAUAUAAAUAUUUUGAAAUAUAUAUAAGUAUUUCAAUUAUUAAAUUCAAAAUUUCUGGUAAUAUGAUAUAUAAUAAUAAAUAUUAAAAUUUUAAUAAAUAAUUUAAGUACACAAUUAGUUAUAAAUAAUUCUUUUAUAAUUUGCUCAUUGAAAUAAGAAAGUCUACUCUCUAUAAUGCAAUACAUAUUGUUUACAAAUAAUGUUUGUUUUCAUGCUUGAUUUAACAUUUUAUUGUUAUUUUAUCAAUUUUAUGUGUGAUAGAUUAAUUUUUAUUUAAUUUAGAUGUUUUUCUUUAUGUUUUGCUUCAAAUUUUUUUUUACUUCGGUUAUAUCCGAACCGAACCGAUAUAACCCGAAUCCGUACGAGAUAUGAUUACUUUAUGGGUUUUAAGACGCAAUACAAUUUUGAACCGAACCCAGACUGUUAUUAUCCUAACCCGACCCGUAUUAAUAAAAUUUUAGUAUGAGACCUAAGAGCGUAAACCCGAAAACCCGAAAAACCCGACCCGAACGUCAUGGAAAGUCGUUUAGCAAACACUUGCAGAAGAAACAUAAACCAAAGCUAAAAGUAGGAAACUCGAAGAAGAACAAGAUGUGUUUAACUUAAUUCACAAACGACAGUGACAAGCAAAUCAAUUUAAAGCAAGAAGAACAAGGUUUAAGAGGGGAAAACGAGAGAAGGGAGACUAGCACUUGGGUUUACAGUGACAAUGACUGGCGACCAUUUUCGCAUUUGGUGAGUUAAGGAAAGAUUUGAACUCUGGGUUCUUCAUGUACUGGCAGAUACAGUGUUGUUGCUGGUUCAACCUGGUGCAACACUCAUUGGAGGGCGUAGAGCCUUUCAUUAUGGCGUCCUCGCAUGGCAUAAGCUGCAUGGGAUUACAUUGCUCUGCCGCGGCGACUCUGUUUUCUUGCGCAACAAUGAGCAAGAGAAGGAGUGUACAAGUGAUCAAGACCAGUUUUGUACAAGAGGCCUUCAUUGUCUCUCUAAGUUGUGAGUUUUAUGAGAGAAGAUGAUUUUCUGGUGUGGAGUUUGAAGUGUGUUUCUCUUCUUCUAUAUAUAUAGAAGGAGAUAGCUUUGUGUGAGUCACGUUACUCAAAUGAGAGCUCGUGAUUACAUAAGAUCUCGAUUUGUACAAUACCAACUCUUUCUAAGCUCAAAGAGGUUAUUAACUUUAUAAAAAUGCUUAGACAAAGCAUAUAAAGACUAAAUGCCAUUUGGGAAAUGUUAAUGAAAACAUGUGCAUCCAACAUGGAAGUCAGCUUUCGGCUAUAACCCCGUGAAGGUUAUAAAAAGCUAGUUGGACUAUUAAACAAAUCAAAAAGCACCUUCAAAAUUAUAUAUCAAUUCAUUAGAGUAGUGUAACAUAAGGUAUUACUGAGGAAGUAUAAAACAUGAUUCUAACUUCUAGUUAUAUUCAAAAGUCAGAACUUACAGCCAACUUGCAAACAAAAGCUGUUCUGUUCCAUUCACUAUGCAAUUGCUUCCUUUCAGAAUCUUCCAUACCGGAUUUAACGGAGUCUGUAACCAAAAACCAACCAAAAUGUUUUGUCUCAAUGGUCACGAGACGAAUAAAAUGAAGAUUAGCCUCAGAUAAUUAUUUUGGAGGCAGUGAUAGAGUCCAUAUUCUGCGAGUGGUAUAAGAGAGGGAAUCAAACAAAAGAGUGACCAAAUCAUAUAUGCUGUCUAACUUCUGUCUCAUGUCUGAUUCCCGAUUAAUUAUACAUAUGAGCUGAGUAAAGUUGGUCCGGAUGAUGAUACCAAAGAGACCCCUAGGCCAAGAAAGAACAGUAUGAGACAUGCAAUUCAGGAGAAAAUCACUUGCUAAGGAUCAAAUAGUGUCUCUAAUAAGAAACUGGAAGACAGAAAACAAGAACUGUCCUAUAACAUCUCUCAUGUUCUUUAAAAAUAUGCGUAUGCUAAAGAAAACAAAAGCGUUCUCUUUGCAAAAUGAUCUCCACAAUUUGGAAACUAAGAACUCCAUUUUUUUUUUGAAAUAAUGUUAAAUUCCUUAACAAAAAAUUCAUAUGGUGGAGUCAUGGAAAUUGAAAAACUUAUCAAGUUAAUCAUCACUUUUGAGUCAGAAUAAGACGAGUGAUCAGGUUUCAUACCAUCAAUCUUGAUACCAAGACCAGACAAGUCAAUAUCUUUAGACCGGAUCGGGGAUGGGUAUAUCGACCGGUUUGUUAUCGUUGUCUUUUAAAAACUAUAGCUCACCUCGGCCCAGCCCAAACUUGACUUUCUUUUCUUUCGCCAAAAUGCAAUUUAACGAUAUGGGUCUUAGUAUAUUUUGUGUGUGUUAGGUUGUUAUGGUGAAUCACGAUUAAGUAACUAGCUGGCAGAACUUGGCAAAACCUAUUAAAAAUCACAAAAAUUGUCUUUGGGUCACGCUCCGACGCUUGAAACUUUUUGAGCCUACGUGACCCAGUCUAACACUCUUGGAGACCUGAUAAAUUAUUUUCUCUCAAAUUUCAAUCACAGCAGUUGUUUAACAACUAAUAUAUUUUCCAGCAAAUCCGGACGACAUUCUCUUGGGUAAUUGUGUUAACGCAAGUGGCAGGUUUUGCAUAUAGAAAUGUGUACACAUAUAACACAUUCUUUAUAGCUUUGUGGCAGUGUAAACUCGAAAUAAGAUUUUGAUCCAAAAGAAAGUCGAAAUUAUACAAUUGCUUUUUGAGUUGUGUGAAAACCUGUGACACUGUGUCCUACAUGUUUCUUGACUUUCUUACCUCGAAUAUAUAACAAUAGGAAAUACAUCUGUCAAAUAAGAAAAAGUAAAAGUGACAUAGAGAGAUUCUUUUCCACCUCGAUCUUCGUUCUUGGUUCUGGACCAAAGUGAAUCCAACAUAUAAAAAAAGUGAUUUAUAAAUAAAGUCAAACAUUGAUACUUUGAUUGGAAGUGAUAGUUACAAAAGCACUCUCCAAAAGGCUGGUGGGAAUCUACUGAGUGAACAACCCAUACACCUAAUUUACCCUCACUUACCUCAAAAUUUAGACCAUAC